This is a non-coding RNA of Poecilia reticulata (guppy), 2553 nucleotides long. Lineage: Eukaryota; Metazoa; Chordata; Actinopteri; Cyprinodontiformes; Poeciliidae. The record is from RefSeq and is a predicted model, not a curated record.
CCUCCUUAUUUAUUUUUCCAGAUAAAUUCUAAAGUGCUCAUUUUCUUGGCUGUUAGCAAACCUUUAGUUGAAUAAAGUUCAGCAUGCUUUGGUGUUUCAGUUAUGAACUGUUAAGAUUUUUUCAAGUACUUAAAUAUUAAUUAUCUUAUUGUGAAGUGGGUGAAGACAGUUUAUACAGAAGUUCCAUUUCCUCUCCUCACAUUCUCUCUAUUUUUCCCCAAUAACAUAAAAAACAUACAGGAAUGAAAUACAAUAGACCGUAGAGAACAAAAUAUAAACACUAGGGGAAUAAUGGAACAUGUAAAUUAGACCUGGUCAUUGUAGAAUGUGGAUGUUCUCCAGACUUGAAUGACUCCUAAAUCUAUCUGUAAAACUCAUUGUUUUGAUGCAGACAUGGGAAGGUGUUGCUUUCACUGACACAAGUAAAUAAAGACUUCCUGGAUGUUGUUUUUCUGAGCUAUAAUAAGAUAUUACUCAGCUAGAGUCCUCCAGCUCUGCUGCUCUGAGGCUUGAUUACCAACCCAUGGAGCCCUGCAGGUGGCGUCAGUAUUCACUUCCACAGAGUAAUGCUGAUUGGAACCUGAGGCUGAUCUCUGUAAGCACAGACUUUUUACAUAGCAGGACUCUGUUGGCAGGUUUAUUAUUUCUGUUGUUAGUCUUUGUAUUUCACUUUUUGCUCUUUUAAAGUUUGACAGCAUUAAGAAAUAUCUUUCAUUUAGAAUACCAUGUCUCAUGGGAGCUUCAUUAAAAUGCCAGAUGUGUUGGAUUGUCAGUACAGCAGCAUUAGGGGUUUCCAGCUUCAAACACUGACAAUGUAUUGUGCUGUAUUUUUAAGCUUAUGCUUAAAAAUACAGUUGUAUUUAUUUCUGUUUUGGCUUGUAUGUCUGUGCAGUCAAAUGUUGACGUUGAGUUUUUGCAGAUUGCAGAACUUGUGGCCACUGAAUUCUUUGAACAGGGGGACAAAGAGCGUCGGGAACUGAACAUCGAGCCCAUUGAUCUUAUGAAUCGUGAGAAAAGAGAUAAGAUACCCAGCAUGCAGGUUUCCUUCAUUGAUGCCAUUUGUGUUCAGCUAUAUGAGACCUUGGCUGGCUUAUCAGAGCACUGCUGCCCUCUGCUGGAAGGGUGUCAGAAAAACCGGCAGCAUUGGAAGCAUCUGGCUGAGGAUGGUGAGAAAGGCCUGGUCAAUGGCCUGGUGUGAUGCAACUACAGUUUAGCUUCUGGAAAAACUGCUAAUUUCAGGACUGCUUCCUGUGUCUCCCAGACUCACUAAGCAUUCAUAAGAUUAGUAUGAUACUACAAACAUGUGGACUAUGGGCCUUUAACCAUUUCUGAAAAGGGAAAGCCACCACAAGGUCUCAAAUGUCAUGUGGUUCUCACCAAGCAGUUCUUCCCACAUCUGUCACUGCAGUCAUUCUAUCCUAUUCUGGUGUGUUCCAUUUAUCUUGGAAGUCGGAGCUAAGAUAUGAGAACAUAGGCGUAACUUCCUGAAGGCCUGGUCCCCACCAAUAUUUCCUACACAUUCUUUCUUUAUGUACCUGCAUGUAUUUGUGGACAUUAACUCAGCAGCAGCUGUGCGCUGUGUACAAAUAUUAACAGCCAGUGGACGACUGCUUUUUAAAAUUUCUUUGUAGGACGUACAGUAAAUGGCGAGUCCGCUCAGUGAGCUAGUUGAUAGGACAUCACAAGACUUGCAGUGCGCCACAUGCGCUAUUGGUUUGCGUUGAGCCCAGAAUAUUGGUGGUCGGGGAAAUGACACAGUCAAGCAAAGAAUCUGAAAAAAGGACAGUGUUUUGCUAUUAAUUGAAAAUUUUACAACAGCAAGAUAAAGUCCAAGGGAAUCACUUUUCACAUGGCAGUAAUACAAAAGAAAGAGGGGAGUAGGUUAACUAUGCUGUAGCUUAACUUUGAUAAACUUUACAUACCCAAGCUGCAUAGUUCAGUGUGUUUUAGUUCAGUUAGCACAAAAAUAAGGCGACCCACACAUCUACUUUGUGACAGAUUAUCAGUAGAGCAGGUGUUUAAAUUUGCUAAUCAACCACAAGUGGUCAGGCAAUUACUUUUUAAUGAUUGCACAGAAAUCUGUAACAGACUGAAUGUUCUCUUUUGGUAUUUCUUGAUGUGGGAAUUUUUUUAGUCUGUCUUUUUAUGUUAAUUCCUAAUACACUUGUACUUAAUCUUUGAGCUCCUGGAGCUGUUGUUUGACAGUUGCCUUGGCAACGGCUCUAUGUGUGACGUUAAGCUGACACAGAAUGAAAAAAAAACAAAAUUCAAUUGGUUUCAAGUUGUUCUCCUGGAUUUCUACAUCCCUGGACUAAUUGCAUCAUUUGUUUGUAGAACGUGGCCAUAUUCACAGCAAUCAUAAAAUAGGAUGAAAUAUUAUAUAAAGCAUAGGAGUCAAAGUUUAACCAUUUCUCCUACAGCAGCAAUUAGGUAAAAUUAAAUGAUUGGCUUUAAAAGAGAAAUUUACUUAAUCCUCUACUGCAUCUUGACAGAACUGACAGAAACAAAGUUGUUUAUAUAUCUAUAUCCAGAGAGAAUACAUAGUUUACAUAU